UACUAAGUUUGAAGCCAUUGUGUAUGUGUUGAAGAAGGAAGAAGGAGGAAGACAUUCUCCGUUUUUCGCGGGUUAUAGACCGCAGUUUUACAUGAGGACGACGGAUGUUACUGGUAAAGUGACUAAGAUUAUGAAUGAUAAGGAUGAGGAGUCUAAGAUGGUUAUGCCAGGUGAUAGGGUUAAGAUUGUUGUGGAGCUUAUCGUGCCUGUUGCUUGUGAACAAGGGAUGAGGUUUGCUAUUAGAGAAGGUGGGAAGACUGUUGGUGCUGGAGUGAUUCAGACUAUUCUCGAAUAAAGGAACUAGCGGGUAAAGCGUUUCGCCAUAGCAAGCUUGUUCUUGUUUCUUGUAGUGUUAUAUUUUUGUGGGGGUUCCUA
This 375-nucleotide long non-coding RNA is filed under the name Brassica rapa (field mustard). RNAcentral describes it as "long non-coding RNA (BRAP_LNC004742)". Lineage: Eukaryota; Viridiplantae; Streptophyta; Magnoliopsida; Brassicales; Brassicaceae. The record is from RNAcentral.